UGAUCACCAAUAUUUACAAUAAAAGCAUGAGAAGCUGGCUUCACUGUGAUCCAAUCAUCUCCUCGCCGGACUUGAAGACCGGUGACAUGAUCGUCCGGCAAGAGAAGGGUCAUGCCACCGGGGUCGGAAUGGGAUGAUAAACCAAGGGUUAAGUGAGGUUGUGGACACUUAGGAUAAAAGUUCACUCUUAGACAUGCCCCAAUGUUCUCACCACCAAAUGAAUCUUGUAGACGUGCCUCUCCUAAUCCAAGAUUUAUCGAUAAUACCUUCAUCAACCUUCCACAUAGCUCCACCACUUGUUUUCCAUAUUCGUCAAUCACUUCCCUGCAAUUAGCUGGUAGACCAGGCCACUUCUUAUAGUCUUUUAAACACAAGGGAAGAUAGUGAAGAAAGUAGUAAUCACUCCAAUCGAGAAUGGCUCCUUUCUCUACUCCUAAUCUGCUACCAUAACCUUCAUAAGUCUUGGGAGAAUUUGCAUAUGUUUGCUUCAACUCCAUCGGCAAAUGAAAGAAUUCUCUCCAUACUUCUCGAGCUCGGUCGAGCAACUCAGGCUUAACUCCAUGGUUGAUAACUUGGAAGAAUCCCC
This 586-nucleotide unclassified non-coding RNA is filed under the name Hevea brasiliensis (rubber tree). The record is from RNAcentral. Lineage: Eukaryota; Viridiplantae; Streptophyta; Magnoliopsida; Malpighiales; Euphorbiaceae.